AACGCACAUUGCGCCCUCUGGCAUUCCAGAGGGCAUGCCUGUUCGAGCGUCAUUACAACCCUCAAGCCUAGCUUGGUAUUGGGUGUCACCAGCAACCGGUGCAUCUUAAAGUCAGUGGCGGUGCUAUUCAGCUUCAAGCGUAGUAAUGUCUCGCGCUUCUGGAGCCUGGGUGUGCUCUUGCCAGCAGCCCCAAUUUUUCAGGUUGACCUCGGAUCAGGUAGGGAUACCCGCUGAACUUAA
Molecule: unclassified non-coding RNA, 240 nt
Filed under: uncultured fungus
Lineage: Eukaryota; Fungi
Description: sequence contains ITS2
Rfam family: 5.8S ribosomal RNA (bases 1-52)
Source: RNAcentral